RNAcentral lists this ribosomal RNA (393 nucleotides) under uncultured bacterium. RNAcentral's name for it is "bacterial SSU rRNA". It matches the Rfam family "Bacterial small subunit ribosomal RNA", at positions 32 to 402 of the family's 1533-position model. The record is from RNAcentral.
AAUCAACGCUGGCGGCGUGCCUCAGACAUGCAAGUCGAACGAUUAAAGCUCUCUUCGGAGAGUGCAUAGAGUGGCGCACGGGUGAGUAACACGUAGGUAAUCUACCUUUGGAUGGGGAAUAACAACCGGAAACGGUUGCUAAUACCGCAUAAUGCAGCGGCACCUAAUGGUGACAGUUGUUAAAGCGGGGGAUCGAAAGACCUCGCGUCUGAAGAGGAGCCCUGGCGGCGGAUUAGCUAGUUGGUAAGGUAAUGGCUUACCAAGGCUACGAUCCGUAACCGGCCUGAGAGGGCGGUCGGUCACACUGACACUGACAUACGGGUCAGACUCCUACGGGAGGCAGCAGUCGGAAUUUUGGGCAAUGGGCGAAAGCCUGACCCAGCAACGCCGCGU